Molecule: long non-coding RNA, 1171 nt
Organism: Diabrotica virgifera virgifera (western corn rootworm)
Lineage: Eukaryota; Metazoa; Arthropoda; Insecta; Coleoptera; Chrysomelidae
Exons: 2
Source: RefSeq, a predicted model, not a curated record
AGCAGUUUGGUUUUAAAUUUGACAGUUCUGUUUUCUCAAGUCAAAAAUCUUAACCUUACUUUUACAAGUGAUUAAGAUUAUUUUAUUUACAUGUAAAUUGAAACAAUAAAUAUUGUGCUUUGUCAUAAUUUAAAACUCAUUAUGUUGAAGUCUUUUCCAGUUGAUAAAAUUGCAAUUCAAAAACUUUUAGGUAGGUACGUGUAACUUCCACAUUAUUAUUUAUUUUUUAAGUAUUAAGGUUGAUGUUGAUAUCAAAAAUUUAGAUUUCAAAGAUAGUUUUAUGUAGGUAGAUACUAAUAGAGUAAUCUAAAUACUAAUAAACUAGAUAAUAGAUUAGAUACAAAGUAAGCUGUAAGUAGUAUAACUGCCCAUGUAAUCACCUGUUAUGUUGUUUUUUUUUUAGAUUUGUACUUUAUGGAUGGCACAGGAAGAGAACAGAGAACAAGAGUACAAGAACAUGAAACAUCUUAUUAUGAAUGUAUAUGUAUGUGAUCCUCAAAAAAUUAUUUUUCAAAACAAGAUAGAGAAUGAGCUUUAAAAUCCCAAGGAUCCUGCAAAAUGUCUAUUUGGUGUACUAGUCGAAUAAUAGUAUCUAAAAAUAAUGAAACUGUUUUAAAACACAUUAUGGGCAUGAGGAUGAUAUAGAGCACUUACAUAAAUACCAAAAUCAGAUAAAUAUCUCUUCAAAGUUUAUUUUGAGACUUUCUUCAAAAAUUAAACUUCAGACUGUCCAGGAUAGCAUAAUAGCAUAGGAGGCAAAUUAAAAAGAAUUAAUUUACUUACAAGAAGAGAUAUCACAAACAUUAAACUCUCUUAUGGCAUUGAUUUGAAAGAUGGGUAUAUGUACAAUGAUGAUGCAACCAGUGUUUAUUUUUGGGUUGAAUGCUCACAGAUUAUUUAUUUUUUCCAAUAUUAUUUUACAAACAACAGGACAUACUAAUGGAUAUUCAUUCUGAAUUUAACAUUUAUGAUUUUUGUCUUAUUUUCCUUAAUACUGUGCCAAAAGGAAAUGUUAAUUAAGUUUGGCAAAUCCUUUAUCGCAAUCGAUGGAACUCAUGGGCUCAAUUCCUAUGACUUUGAACUUAUGACAGUAUUAGUAAAAGAUGAAUUUGGGAAUGGAUUUUGUACUGCUUUCUUAUUUUCAAAUAGAAAAGAUACCUACUUUAAUUUA